UGGGGGAUAUUGCACAAUGGGCGAAAGCCUGAUGCAGCGACGCCGCGUGGGGGAUGAAGGCCUUCGGGUUGUAAACUUCUUUUGCUCUGAACAAGGCAUGCUAAUGGGUGUGUUGAGUGUAGGGGUUGAUUAGCGCCGGCUAACUACGUGCCAGCAGCCGCGGUAAUACGUAGGGCGCGAGCGUUGUCCGGAAUUAUUGGGCGUAAAGGGCUUGUAGGUGGCUGGUUGCGUCUGUCGUGAAAGCUCAUGGCUUAACUGUGGGUUUGCGGUGGGGACGGGCUGGCUUGAGUGCAGUAGGGGAGGCUGGAAUUCCUGGUGUAGCGGUGGAAUGCGAAGAUAUCAGGAGGAAUACCGGUGGCGAAGGCGGGUCUCUGGGCUGUUACUGACACUGAGGAGCGAAAGCAUGGGGAGCGAACAGG
Molecule: ribosomal RNA, 419 nt
Filed under: bacterium
Lineage: Bacteria
Description: partial 16S ribosomal RNA
Rfam family: Bacterial small subunit ribosomal RNA
Source: RNAcentral